CCAUCAUGAACUUCAAAUUUCUCAAAGAAAAUCAUGAACUUCUUAAAAUAUGAGCCAUAUAAUGAAGUGCUUGUUAGCAUGAUUAUCAUUAACAAGGCUAAAAAAUGUGCCAUUGCAUUUUCAUGCAAAUGCAUCACCAGGUACAGCAGGUUCAGUUUGGAGUGGCAGGUCGGUACAACAUAUUGCAUACCAAAAUGUAGGAGAAAGGGUGGGCAGGAACUUAUAAUUAGCCCACGGUGACAAACCGGCCAUCUUUCUUCCUCCUGGCGACAUGGACGGUCAUCGUUGUCAUCUUCCUUGCGCCUUUGAUCAGCUCAAAGACGCAGACGUCGCCCUCGCGCAGCCCAUUGUCCGGCGACAAACCGGCCAUCUUUCUUCCUCCUGGCAACAUGGACGGUCAUCGUUGUCAUCUUCCUUGCGCCUUUGAUCAGCUCAAAGACGCAGACGUCGCCCUCGCGCAGCCCAUUGUCCCUCACAAACUUGACCCAACGUUGGCAGUUGAAG
Molecule: long non-coding RNA, 504 nt
Filed under: Triticum aestivum (bread wheat)
Lineage: Eukaryota; Viridiplantae; Streptophyta; Magnoliopsida; Poales; Poaceae
Description: long non-coding RNA (TAES_LNC008470)
Source: RNAcentral